AGAGUUUGAUCAUGGCUCAGAACGAACGCUGGCGGCAGGCUUAACACAUGCAAGUCGAACGGUUGUAGCAAUACAGCAGUGGCAGACGGGUGAGUAACACGUGGGAACCUUCCUAGGGGUACGGAACAACUCAGGGAAACUUGAGCUAAUACCGUAUACGUCCGUGAGGAGAAAGAUUUAUCGCCCUUAGACGGGCCCGCGUCGGAUUAGCUAGUUGGUGGGGUGACGGCCUACCAAGGCGACGAUCCGUAGCUGAUCUUAGAGGAUGAUCAGCCACACUGGGACUGAGACACGGCCCAGACUCCUACGGGAGGCAGCAGUGGGGAAUCUUGGACAAUGGGCGCAAGCCUGAUCCAGCCAUGCCGCGUGAGUGAAGAAGAUCUUCGGAUUGUAAAGCUCUUUUGCCAGGGACGAUAAUGACGGUACCUGGAGAAUAAGCCCCGGCAAACUUCGUG
This 455-nucleotide ribosomal RNA is filed under the name uncultured bacterium. RNAcentral describes it as "bacterial SSU rRNA". It matches the Rfam family "Bacterial small subunit ribosomal RNA", at positions 8 to 507 of the family's 1533-position model. The record is from RNAcentral.